UCAAAGAAAUGAACACUUGUAAUAAUUCUUUUUUUAUGCUAAAAUAUCAUUCAUGAGCAGUUUCUCAUGUAAGACUGCGGUAUUCGGGUCUCGCGCAAUGGAGACUCAUGAACCCCGCCAGGUCCGGAAGGGAGCAACGGUAAGUGAUCAUCUUCAUGUGCCGUGAGGGCGCCUGAAUACCGUGUUCUUACCUGAGAAGCUGUUUUUUUUA
RNAcentral lists this unclassified non-coding RNA (211 nucleotides) under Megamonas sp. Calf98-2. RNAcentral's name for it is "Bacterial large signal recognition particle RNA". The stretch from base 82 to 181 matches the Rfam family "Bacterial small signal recognition particle RNA". Lineage: Bacteria; Bacillati; Bacillota; Negativicutes; Selenomonadales; Selenomonadaceae. The record is from RNAcentral.